RNAcentral lists this ribosomal RNA (467 nucleotides) under uncultured bacterium. RNAcentral's name for it is "partial 16S ribosomal RNA". It matches the Rfam family "Bacterial small subunit ribosomal RNA", at positions 29 to 507 of the family's 1533-position model. The record is from RNAcentral.
ACGAACGCUGGCGGCGUGCUUAACACCUGCAAGUCGCACGGAAAGGCCCUGCUUUUGUGGGGUGCUCGAGUGGCGAACGGGUGAGUAACACGUGAGUAACCUGCCCUUGACUUUGGGAUAACUUCAGGAAACUGGGGCUAAUACCGGAUAGGAGCUCCUGCUGCAUGGUGGGGGUUGGAAAGUUUCGGCGGUUGGGGAUGGACUCGCGGCUUAUCAGCUUGUUGGUGGGGUAGUGGCUUACCAAGGCUUUGACGGGUAGCCGGCCUGAGAGGGUGACCGGCCACAUUGGGACUGAGAUACGGCCCAGACUCCUACGGGAGGCAGCAGUGGGGAAUAUUGCACAAUGGGCGGAAGCCUGAUGCAGCAACGCCGCGUGCGGGAUGACGGCCUUCGGGUUGUAAACCGCUUUCGCCUGUGACGAAGCGUGAGUGACGGUAAUGGGUAAGGAAGCACCGGCUAACUACGUG